UGCCCAAGGAAACCGGGGGAGAUGAGCUGGAGGCGAGCUGUGAAUCUCCUUCGCUCCCUUGGGCUACA
This 68-nucleotide small nucleolar RNA is filed under the name Thermococcus sibiricus MM 739. RNAcentral's name for it is "Pab160 RNA". It matches the Rfam family "Pab160 RNA". From Rfam's summary of the family: By using various computational and experimental approaches in three Pyrococcus genomes seven H/ACA sRNAs and 15 pseudouridine resides on rRNA were identified. One H/ACA motif was shown to guide up to three distinct pseudouridylations. Lineage: Archaea; Methanobacteriati; Methanobacteriota; Thermococci; Thermococcales; Thermococcaceae. The record is from Rfam by way of RNAcentral.